Molecule: ribosomal RNA, 430 nt
Filed under: uncultured bacterium
Lineage: Bacteria
Description: bacterial SSU rRNA
Rfam family: Bacterial small subunit ribosomal RNA
Source: RNAcentral
CUAAGAAUCUUCCGCAAUGGGGGAAACCCUGACGGAGCGACGCCGCGUGGAUGAUGAAGGCCGUAAGGUUGUAAAAUCCUUUUCCUGGUGAAGAAUAAGCGGGGGAGUGGAAAGCCCCCGUGAUGACGUUAACCAGGGAAUAAGCCCCGGCCAAUUACGUGCCAGCAGCCGCGGUAAUACGUAUGGGGCAAGCGUUGUUCGGAGUUAUUGGGCGUAAAGGGCGUGUAGGCGGCCCGUCAAGUCUGGUGUGAAAUCGCAGGGCUCAACCCUGCGUAUGCGCUGGAAACUGACAGGCUGGAGUCCUGAGGGGGAAACUGGAAUUCCUGGUGUAGGAGUGAAAUCUGUAGAUAUCAGGAAGAACACCGGUGGCGAAGGCGAGUUUCUACUCAUGGACUGACGCUGAGGCGCGAAAGCGUGGGGAGCAAACAGG